GACGAACGCUGGCGGCGUGCUUAACACAUGCAAGUCGAACGGAAAGGCCCUGCUUUUGUGGGGUGCUCGAAUGGCGAACGGGUGAGUAACACGUGAGUAACCUGCCCUUGACUUUGGGAUAACUUCAGGAAACUGGGGCUAAUCCCGGAUAGGAGCUCCUGCUGCUUGGUGGGGGUUGGACAGUUUCGGCGGUUGGGGAUGGACUUGCGGCUUAUCAGCUUGUUGGUGGGGUAGUGGCUUACCAAGGCUUUGACGGGUAGCGGGCCUGAGAGGGGGGCCGGCCACAUUGGGACUGAGAUACGGCCCAGACUACUACGGGAGGCAGCAGUGGAGAAUAGUGCACAAUGGGCGGAAGCCUGAUGCAGCAACGCCGCGUGGGGGAUGACGGCCUGCGGGUUGUAAACCGCUUUCGCCUGUGACGAAGCGUGAGUGACGGUAAUGGGUAAAGAAGCACCGGCUAACUACGUG
Molecule: ribosomal RNA, 468 nt
Filed under: uncultured bacterium
Lineage: Bacteria
Description: partial 16S ribosomal RNA
Rfam family: Bacterial small subunit ribosomal RNA
Source: RNAcentral